RNAcentral lists this ribosomal RNA (2230 nucleotides) under metagenome. RNAcentral's name for it is "bacterial LSU rRNA". It matches the Rfam family "Bacterial large subunit ribosomal RNA", at positions 14 to 2238 of the family's 2925-position model. The record is from RNAcentral.
AGGGCGUACGGUGGAUGCCUUGGCGAUAUCAGCCGAAGAAGGACGCGGUAAGCUGCGAUAAGCUACGGAGAGGUGCAAGCAACCUGUGACCCGUAGAUUUCCGAAUGGGGGAACCCGGCAGUGGUUAUGCACUGUCACCCAUAGCUUAGACUAUGAGGAGGGCACCUGGGGAACUGAAACAUCUAAUUACCCAGAGGAACAGUAAUCAAACGAGAUUUUCUUAGUAGCGGCGAGCGAACGGGAAAGAGGCCAAACCGGAGCGGGCAACCGCACCGGGGUUGAGGACAGUCAUCAAGUGUAAAUGAGGUAGAAGAAUCGAGCUGGAAAGCUCAGCCGUAGAAGGUGAAAGCCCUGUAAUCGAAACCUUGCAUACAUGGGACUGUAUCCAGAGUACCACGAGACACGUGAAACCUUGUGGGAAGCAGGGGGGACCACCCUCCAAGCCAAAAUACUGAUAUCGACCGAUAGCGCAUAGUACCGUGAGGGAAAGGUGAAAAGAACCCCUGGCGGGGAGUGAAAGAGAACCUGAAACCGUAUGUCUACAAACAGUCGAAGUCUGUAUAUAUAUCAGGACGACGGCGUGCCUAUUGAAGAAUGAACCGACGAGUUACUGUUGCUAGCGAGGUUAAGUGGAAAACAUGGAGCCGCAGCGAAAGCGAGUCUGAACAGGGCGUUCAGUUAGUAAUAGUAGACCCGAAACCGUAGUGAUCUAUCCAUGGCCAGGUUGAAGCACAGGUAAAAUUGUGUGGAGGACCGAACUCGUGAGCGUUGAAAAGCUUUGGGAUGAGUUGUGGAUAGGGGUGAAAUGCCAAUCGAACACGGAGAUAGCUGGUUCUCCCCGAAAUAGCUUUAGGGCUAGCCUCGAGGUAGAGAGUAUAGGCGGUAGAGCACUGAUCGGGCUAGGGGCCAUACCGGUUACCGAACCUAGUCAAACUACGAAUGGCUAUACUUAUACUCGGGAGUCAGACAGUGAAUGAUAAGGUCCAUUGUCAAGAGGGAAACAGCCCAGAACACCGACUAAGGUCCCCAAUGUUACACUAAGUGGCGAAGGAUGUGGAAUUUCCAAAACAACCAGGAUGUUGGCUUAGAAGCAGCCACCAUUUAAAGAGUGCGUAAUAGCUCACUGGUCGAGAGACUCUGCGCCGAAAAUGUCCGGGGCUAAAGUGUAAAACCGAAGUCGUGUCAUAUGCAGCAAUGUAUAUGGGUAGGGGAGCGUUCUCAUUGGGUUGAAGCAGUACCGUAAGGAGUUGUGGACUGAUGAGAAGUGAGAAUGUCGGUAUGAGUAGCGAAAAGAAUGGUGAGAAUCCAUUCCACCGAAAGCCUAAGGGUUCCUGAGCAACGAUCGUCGUCUCAGGGUAAGUCGGGACCUAAGCCGAGGCGGAAAAGCGUAGGCGAUGGACAACAGGUUGAAAUUCCUGUACCGGUGUGAAUCGUUUGAUCGAAGGAGUGACACAGUAAGGUAGGUCAGCACGCGAUUGGAAGUGCGUGUUUAAGCAUGUAGGUUGAGUUAUAGGCAAAUCCGUAGCUCUAAAAGCUGAGAUGUGAUGACGAGCUGUUUACAGCGAAGUGAUUGAUCCUACACUGUCGAGAAAAGCUUCUAGGUAGAGACACAUCGCCCGUACCAAAACCGACACAGGUAGGUGGGGAGAGAAUCCUAAGGUGCGCGGGAAAACCCUCGUUAAGGAACUCGGCAAAAUGCCUCCGUAACUUCGGGAAAAGGAGGACUCAUGUAGUGUGAAGAGCAGAAGCGCUUGGAGCAUGAAUGAGUGGCACAAGAGAGGCGCAAGCGACUGUUUACCACAAACACAGGUGCCUGCUAAAGCGAAAGCUGAUGUAUAGGUGCUGACACCUGCCCGGUGCUGGAAGGUUAAGAGGAGGGGUUAGACUUCGGUCGAAGCUCUGAAUUGAAGCCCCAGUAAACGGCGGCCGUAACUAUAACGGUCCUAAGGUAGCGAAAUUCCUUGUCGGGUAAGUUCCGACCCGCACGAAAGGUGUAACGACUUGCGCACUGUCUCAACGAGGGACCCGGUGAAAUUGAAGUACCUGUGAAGAUGCAGGUUACCCGCGACUGGACAGAAAGACCCCAUGGAGCUUUACUGCAACCUAAGAUUGAACUUAGUUAAUGAAUGUACAGGAUAGGUGGGAGACGUAGAACCUAGGACGCCAGUUUUAGGGGAGUCGCUGUUGGGAUACCACCCUUUCAUUAAUUGAUUUCUAACGGGCCGAGUAA